Molecule: ribosomal RNA, 253 nt
Filed under: uncultured bacterium
Lineage: Bacteria
Also listed under: 2 other names
Description: partial 16S ribosomal RNA
Rfam family: Bacterial small subunit ribosomal RNA
Source: RNAcentral
UACAGAGGGUGCAAGCGUUAAUCGGAAUUACUGGGCGUAAAGCGCGCGUAGGUGGUUUGUUAAGUUGGAUGUGAAAUCCCCGGGCUCAACCUGGGAACUGCAUUCAAAACUGACAAGCUAGAGUAUGGUAGAGGGUGGUGGAAUUUCCUGUGUAGCGGUGAAAUGCGUAGAUAUAGGAAGGAACACCAGUGGCGAAGGCGACCACCUGGACUGAUACUGACACUGAGGUGCGAAAGCGUGGGGAGCAAACAGG